RNAcentral lists this ribosomal RNA (511 nucleotides) under uncultured Clostridia bacterium. RNAcentral's name for it is "bacterial SSU rRNA". It matches the Rfam family "Bacterial small subunit ribosomal RNA", at positions 8 to 526 of the family's 1533-position model. Lineage: Bacteria; Bacillati; Bacillota; Clostridia. The record is from RNAcentral.
AGAGUUUGAUCCUGGUUCAGGACGAACGCUGGCGGCGUGCCUAACACAUGCAAGUCGAGCGGAGGCAACCGAAGAGCAAUCUAAGGAUGCCUGAGCGGCGGACGGGUGAGUAACACGUGAGCAACCUGCCUAUCACAGGGGGAUAACGCAGCGAAAGCUGCACUAAUACCGCAUGAGACCACAGCGGCGAAGGCUGCGGGGGUCAAAGGAGCGAUCCAGUGAGAGAUGGGCUCGCGUCCGAUUAGGUAGUUGGUGAGGUAACGGCCCACCAAGCCAAUGAUCGGUAGCCGGCCUGAGAGGGUGAACGGCCACAUUGGAACUGAGAGACGGUCCAAACUCCUACGGGAGGCAGCAGUGGGGAAUAUUGGGCAAUGGGGGAAACCCUGACCCAGCAACGCCGCGUGAGGGAAGAAGGUUUUCGGAUUGUAAACCUCUGUUCUUGGUGAAGAGAAGAAGACGGUAGCCAAGGAGGAAGCCCCGGCUAACUACGUGCCAGCAGCCGCGGUAAUAC